AAUCCCUACGGGACGCAGCAGUGGGGAAUUUUGGACAAUGGGCGCAAGCCUGAUCCAGCUAUUCCGCGUGUGGGAUGAAGGCCCUCGGGUUGUAAACCACUUUUGUAGAGAACGAAAAGACACCUUCGAAUAAAGGGUGUUGCUGACGGUACUCUAAGAAUAAGCACCGGCUAACUACGUGCCAGCAGCCGCGGUAAUACGUAGGGUGCGAGCGUUAAUCGGAAUUACUGGGUGUAAAGGGAGCGCAGGCGGGAAGCCAAGUCAGCUGUGAAAACUACGGGCUUAACUUGU
Molecule: ribosomal RNA, 291 nt
Filed under: uncultured bacterium
Lineage: Bacteria
Description: partial 16S ribosomal RNA
Rfam family: Bacterial small subunit ribosomal RNA
Source: RNAcentral